CCCUCCUCAGGAUCGCACCUGGAGAGUUCCCAGUACUCUACCAGUCUUGCCUACAGGAAGGAGAGUCAAGCAGAGGCAUACACAUUCCAUUCCUAGCCUGGGCAGUGGCUAGUCAGCGGAAGACAAUCUGCUACAGUC
Tachyglossus aculeatus (Australian echidna) is the source of this 138-nucleotide small nucleolar RNA. The record is from RefSeq and is a predicted model, not a curated record. Lineage: Eukaryota; Metazoa; Chordata; Mammalia; Monotremata; Tachyglossidae.